This 492-nucleotide ribosomal RNA is filed under the name uncultured bacterium. RNAcentral's name for it is "partial 16S ribosomal RNA". It matches the Rfam family "Bacterial small subunit ribosomal RNA", at positions 29 to 507 of the family's 1533-position model. The record is from RNAcentral.
AGUGAACGCUGGCGGUAGGCCUAACACAUGCAAGUCGAACGGCAGCACAGUAAGAGCUUGCUCUUACGGGUGGCGAGUGGCGGACGGGUGAGGAAUACAUCGGAAUCUACUUUUUCGUGGGGGAUAACGUAGGGAAACUUACGCUAAUACCGCAUACGACCUACGGGUGAAAGCAGGGGAUCUUCGGACCUUGCGCGAUUGAAUGAGCCGAUGUCGGAUUAGCUAGUUGGCGGGGUAAAGGCCCACCAAGGCGACGAUCCGUAGCUGGUCUGAGAGGAUGAUCAGCCACCUUGGAACUGGGACACGGUCCAGACUCCUACGGGAGGCAGCAGUGGGGAAUAUUGGACAAUGGGCGCAAGCCUGAUCCAGCCAUACCGCGUGGGUGAAGAAGGCCUUCGGGUUGUAAAGCCCUUUUGUUGGGAAAGAAAAGCAGCAGGUUAAUACCCCGCUGUUCUGACGGUACCCAAAGAAUAAGCACCGGCUAACUUCGUG